GUCUAUGGUCAUGCCACCCUGAACAAGCCCGAUGUCUGAUCUCGGAAGCUAAGCAGGGUCGGGCCUGGUUAGUACUUGGAUGGGAGACCACCUAGGAAGACUGUAGGCAUUAAAAAAA
RNAcentral lists this ribosomal RNA (118 nucleotides) under Pteropus alecto (black flying fox). The record is from RNAcentral. Lineage: Eukaryota; Metazoa; Chordata; Mammalia; Chiroptera; Pteropodidae.